AUACGUAGGGGGCGAGCGUUGUCCGGAAUGAUUGGGCGUAAAGGGCGCGUAGGCGGCGCGGUAAGUCUGGAGUGAAAGUCCUGCUUUCAAGGAGGGAAUUGCUUUGGAUACUGCCGUGCUUGAGUGCAGGAGAGGUUAUCGGAAUUCCAGGAGUAGCGGUGAAAUGCGUAGAGAUCGGGAGGAACACCAGUGGCGAAGGCGGGUAACUGGACUGCAACUGACGCUGAGGCGCGAAAGUGUGGGGAGCAAACAGGAUUAGAUACCCUGGUAGUCCACACUGUAAACGAUGAAUGCUAGGUGUAAGAGGUAUCGACCCCUUUUGUGCCGGAGUCAACACAAUAAGCAUUCCGCCUGGGGAGUACGGCCGCAAGGUUGAAACUCAAAUGAAUUGACGGGG
Molecule: ribosomal RNA, 397 nt
Filed under: uncultured bacterium
Lineage: Bacteria
Description: partial 16S ribosomal RNA
Rfam family: Bacterial small subunit ribosomal RNA
Source: RNAcentral